CCUACGGGUGGCAGCAGUGGGGAAUAUUGCACAAUGGGCGAAAGCCUGAUGCAGCAACGCCGCGUGAAGGAAGAAGGGUUUCGGCUCGUAAACUUCUAUCAACAGGGACGAAAGAAAUGACGGUACUUGAAUAAGAAGCCCCGGCUAACAACGUGCCAGCACCCGCGGCAAUACGUAGGGGGCAAGCGUUAUCCGGAUUUACUGGGUUUAAAGGGUGAGUAGGCGGCAUGGUAAGCCAGAUGUGAAAGCCUUGGGCUCAACCCGAGGAGUGCAUUUGGAACUAUCAAGCUAGAGUACGGGAGAGGAAAGCGGAAUUCGUGGUGUAGCGGUGAAAUGCGUAGAUAUUAGGAAGAACACCAGUGGCGAAGGCGGCUUUCUGGACUGAAACUGACGCUGAUGCACGAAAGCGUGGGGAGCGAACAGGAUUAGAUACCCGAGUAGUC
This 443-nucleotide ribosomal RNA is filed under the name uncultured bacterium. Its description in RNAcentral is "partial 16S ribosomal RNA". It matches the Rfam family "Bacterial small subunit ribosomal RNA", at positions 338 to 795 of the family's 1533-position model. The record is from RNAcentral.